GCCCCCAUCGUCUAGAGGCCUAGGACACCACCCUUUCAAGGUGGAGAUCGCGGGUUCGAAUCCCGCUGGGGGCACUA
Molecule: transfer RNA, 77 nt
Filed under: Thermomicrobium roseum
Lineage: Bacteria; Pseudomonadati; Thermomicrobiota; Thermomicrobia; Thermomicrobiales; Thermomicrobiaceae
Description: tRNA-Glu
Rfam family: tRNA
About the family: Transfer RNA (tRNA) molecules are approximately 80 nucleotides in length. Their secondary structure includes four short double-helical elements and three loops (D, anti-codon, and T loops).
Source: RNAcentral